This 240-nucleotide unclassified non-coding RNA is filed under the name Hevea brasiliensis (rubber tree). The record is from RNAcentral. Lineage: Eukaryota; Viridiplantae; Streptophyta; Magnoliopsida; Malpighiales; Euphorbiaceae.
GUAGAGAUAGAGUGAGAAGUAAGAGCAAACAUCCAUCAUGUGUGGGAGAAAUGGAGGCAAGUACACAAGAGAAACUCAUGAGGAUGAUUCUAAUAAGGGUGAUGACAAAGAAAAAUCUGGUGUUCAUGACAACAAAAAUACUAAUGGCAAAAGCAAAGGAUCAUUCGUGACACCUAAAAGGGGAAAAAUAAGAGAAAAGAUACUGAAAGAUUUAAAUCCUUGGGCUACUGAGGGCUAACU